GAUGAAGAACGUAGCGAAAUGCGAUAAGUAAUGUGAAUUGCAGAAUUCAGUGAAUCAUCGAAUCUUUGAACGCACAUUGCGCCCGUCAGUAUUCUGGCGGGCAUGCCUGUUCGAGCGUCAUUACGCCCCUCAAGUCCCCUGUGGACUUGGUGUUGGGGAUCGGCGAGGCUGGUUUUCCAGCACAGCCGUCCCUUAAAUUAAUUGGCGGUCUCGCCGUGGCCCUCCUCUGCGCAGUAGUAAAACACUCGCAACAGGAGCCCGGCGCGGUCCACUGCCGUAAAACCCCCCAACUUUUUAUAGUUGACCUCGAAUCAGGUAGGACUACCCGCUGAACUUAAGCAUAUCAUAAGCGGAGGA
Molecule: unclassified non-coding RNA, 357 nt
Filed under: soil metagenome
Description: partial contains 5.8S ribosomal RNA, internal transcribed spacer 2, and large subunit ribosomal RNA
Rfam family: 5.8S ribosomal RNA (bases 1-120)
Source: RNAcentral